GUGAGGGCGACCGAGCGUGGGGAGGAAGCACGGAAUGAACCCGUGAGCCGAUGAACAAGAAUCGGAUAUGAGGCGCGAUGGAGCAAGGCGAGCAGGCACAUCACUGCGAAGCUUUCGUGGUCAAGUCGAAGUCGCGUAGAUCCGGCGGUUGUGCGGGGAAGGGCGUUCUU
Molecule: non-coding RNA, 170 nt
Filed under: Citrobacter freundii
Lineage: Bacteria; Pseudomonadati; Pseudomonadota; Gammaproteobacteria; Enterobacterales; Enterobacteriaceae
Source: RNAcentral